Molecule: ribosomal RNA, 407 nt
Filed under: uncultured bacterium
Lineage: Bacteria
Description: partial 16S ribosomal RNA
Rfam family: Bacterial small subunit ribosomal RNA
Source: RNAcentral
AUUGAACGCUGGCGGCAGGCCUAACACAUGCAAGUCGAGCGGAACGGCGGACGGGUAAGUAAUGCCUAGGAAUCUGCCUGGUAGUGGUGGAUAACGUCCGGAAACGGGCGCUAAUACCGCAUACUAUCAGAUGAGCCUAGGUCGGAGUGGCUAGUGGGUGGGGUAAAGGCCUACCAAGGCGACGAUCCGUAACUGGUCUGAGAGGAGGAUCAGUCAAACUGGAACUGAGACACGGUCCAGACUCCUACGGGAGGAAGCAGUGGGGAAUAUUGGACAAUGGGGGAAAGCCUGAGCCAGCCAUGCCGCGUGUUGGAAGUAGGUCUUCGGAUUGUAAAGCACUUUAAGUUGGGAGGCGUUACCAACAGAAUAAGCACCGGCUAACUUCGUGCCAGCAGCCGCGGUAAUAC